This 799-nucleotide ribosomal RNA is filed under the name uncultured bacterium. RNAcentral describes it as "bacterial SSU rRNA". It matches the Rfam family "Bacterial small subunit ribosomal RNA", at positions 8 to 796 of the family's 1533-position model. The record is from RNAcentral.
AGAGUUUGAUCCUGGCUCAGGAUGAACGCUAGCGGCAGGCUUAAUACAUGCAAGUCGAGGGGCAGCAGGGGCGUAGCAAUACGUUCGCUGGCGACCGGCAAACGGGUGCGGAACACGUACACAACCUUCCUUAAAGUGGGGGAUAGCCCGGGGAAACCCGGAUUAAUACCCCGUAACAUAAUGAAGUGGCAUCGCUUUAUUAUUAUAGCAGCAAUGCGCUUAAAGAUGGGUGUGCGACUGAUUAGGCAGUUGGCGGGGUAACGGCCCACCAAACCUACGAUCAGUAACUGGUGUGAGAGCACGACCAGUCACACGGGCACUGAGACACGGGCCCGACUCCUACGGGAGGCAGCAGUAAGGAAUAUUGGUCAAUGGACGCAAGUCUGAACCAGCCAUGCCGCGUGGAGGAUGAAGGUCCUCUGGAUUGUAAACUUCUUUUAUCUGGGAAGAAAUCCACAAAUUCUUUUGUGGUUGACGGUACCAGAUGAAUAAGCACCGGCUAACUCCGUGCCAGCAGCCGCGGUAAUACGGAGGGUGCAAGCGUUAUCCGGAUUCACUGGGUUUAAAGGGUGCGUAGGUGGGUUGGUAAGUCAGUGGUGAAAUCUCCAGGCUUAACUUGGAAACUGCCAUUGAUACUAUCAAUCUUGAAUACCGUGGAGGUCAGCGGAAUAUGUCAUGUAGCGGUGAAAUGCUUAGAGAUGACAUAGAACACCAAUUGCGAAGGCAGCUGGCUACGCGGAUAUUGACACUGAUGCACGAAAGCGUGGGGAUCAAACAGGAUUAGAUACCCUAGUAGUCC